GAUGAAGAACGUAGCGAAAUGCGAUAAGUAGUGUGAAUUGCAGAAUUCAGUGAAUCAUCGAAUCUUUGAACGCACAUUGCGCCCUUUGGUAUUCCUUAGGGCAUGCCUGUUCGAGCGUCAUUUAAACCUUCAAGCUCAGCUUGGUGUUGGGUGACUGUCCGCUUCACCGCGGACUCGCCUCAAAAUUAUUGGCGGCCGGUACAUUGGCUCUCGAGCGCAGCAGAAACGCGUAACUCGAGGUCCUCGUGCUGGCUCCCAGUAGCUAUCUUCACAAUUUUGACCUCGGAUCAGGUAGGGAUACCCGCUGAACUUAAGCAUAUCAAUAAGCGGAGGA
RNAcentral lists this unclassified non-coding RNA (334 nucleotides) under soil metagenome. RNAcentral's name for it is "partial contains 5.8S ribosomal RNA, internal transcribed spacer 2, and large subunit ribosomal RNA". The stretch from base 1 to 120 matches the Rfam family "5.8S ribosomal RNA", at positions 35 to 154 of the family's 154-position model. The record is from RNAcentral.